RNAcentral lists this unclassified non-coding RNA (326 nucleotides) under uncultured Stachylidium. Its description in RNAcentral is "partial contains 5.8S ribosomal RNA, internal transcribed spacer 2, and large subunit ribosomal RNA". The stretch from base 1 to 102 matches the Rfam family "5.8S ribosomal RNA", at positions 53 to 154 of the family's 154-position model. The record is from RNAcentral. Lineage: Eukaryota; Fungi; Ascomycota; Sordariomycetes; Glomerellales; Plectosphaerellaceae.
ACGCGAUAAGUAGUGUGAAUUGCAGAAUUCAGUGAAUCAUCGAAUCUUUGAACGCACAUGGCGCCCCCCGGCAUCCCGGGGGGCAUGCCUGUCCGAGCGUCGUUUCAACCCUCGAGCCCUCCGUGGCCCGGCGUUGGGGACCUACGGCUCCGGCCGCAGGCCCCGAAAUCCAGUGGCGGACCCGCGACGGCCCCUCCUUUGCGCAGUAGCAUCAGCCUCGCAUCGGGAGCCCGCGGGCGCUCCGGCCUCUAAACCCCACUUUAAAGCCCGUCUCCGGCGGCACCAAGGUUGACCUCGGAUCAGGUAGGAAUACCCGCUGAACUUAA